This 490-nucleotide ribosomal RNA is filed under the name uncultured Escherichia sp. RNAcentral's name for it is "bacterial SSU rRNA". It matches the Rfam family "Bacterial small subunit ribosomal RNA", at positions 1018 to 1508 of the family's 1533-position model. Lineage: Bacteria; Pseudomonadati; Pseudomonadota; Gammaproteobacteria; Enterobacterales; Enterobacteriaceae. The record is from RNAcentral.
CUUCGGGAACCGUGAGACAGGUGCUGCAUGGCUGUCGUCAGCUCGUGUUGUGAAAUGUUGGGUUAAGUCCCGCAACGAGCGCAACCCUUAUCCUUUGUUGCCAGCGGUCCGGCCGGGAACUCAAAGGAGACUGCCAGUGAUAAACUGGAGGAAGGUGGGGAUGACGUCAAGUCAUCAUGGCCCUUACGACCAGGGCUACACACGUGCUACAAUGGCGCAUACAAAGAGAAGCGAUCUCGCGAGAGCAAGCGGACCUCAUAAAGUGCGUCGUAGUCCGGAUUGGAGUCUGCAACUCGACUCCAUGAAGUCGGAAUCGCUAGUAAUCGUGGAUCAGAAUGCCACGGUGAAUACGUUCCCGGGCCUUGUACACACCGCCCGUCACACCAUGGGAGUGGGUUGCAAAAGAAGUAGGUAGCUUAACCUUCGGGAGGGCGCUUACCACUUUGUGAUUCAUGACUGGGGUGAAGUCGUAACAAGGUAACCAAUCACU